Long non-coding RNA from Drosophila ananassae, 406 nucleotides. RefSeq lists it as uncharacterized. NCBI's taxonomy places the organism in Eukaryota, Metazoa, Arthropoda, Insecta, Diptera, Drosophilidae. The transcript is spliced from 3 exons. The record is from RefSeq and is a predicted model, not a curated record.
ACAAGUGGCUGGCAGCGUCCCCGCCGUAAAGUACCGUUAACUAAAAUGGCAUUCACAUAUUUUACAUAUGUAUGUAAAAACAGCUAGGACGAAUGUAAAUUACAAACACCGAUGGACGUUCAGAUAUCUAUGUAGGAACAAUGAGGACGAAUGGAAACUAUGGAAUGGAAUGGAAACACCAAUGGAAGUUCAGAGGCAACUUUGAACCGGGCCAACACCUCUAGCUCUAUUCUUUAGCCUGGUUUUUUCGCCCAAACAUUCGUAGAAGCGUGCGAAUUCCUGGAAACACUGCCGUCACUAUCGGUUCUAUUAAUAUCUGAAAAAAUAUAUGGAUAUGGAUGGAGUGGAAGUGGAAGUGGAUGAGGAAGUGGUGGUGCUAUUGGGUGGAGGGCACUUGGAGGGAUCG